UGGGGAAUAUUGCGCAAUGGGGGAAACCCUGACGCAGCGACGCCGCGUGCGGGAUGAAGGCCUUCGGGUUGUAAACCGCUUUUGAUUGGGAGCAAGCCUUUUGGGUGAGUGUACCUUUCGAAUAAGCGCCGGCUAACUACGUGCCAGCAGCCGCGGUAAUACGUAUGUUGCGAGCGUUAUCCGGAAUUAUUGGGCUUAAAGGGCAUCUAGGCGGUAAGACAAGUUGAAGGUGAAAACCUGUGGCUCAACCAUAGGCUUGCCUACAAAACUGUUGAACUAGAGUACUGGAAAGGUGGGUGGAACUACACGAGUAGAGGUGAAAUUCGUAGAUAUGUGUAGGAAUGCCGAUGAUGAAGAUAACUCACUGGACAGAAACUGACGCUGAAGUGCGAAAGCUAGGGGAGCAAACAGG
Molecule: ribosomal RNA, 412 nt
Filed under: Verrucomicrobiota bacterium
Lineage: Bacteria; Pseudomonadati; Verrucomicrobiota
Description: Verrucomicrobia bacterium partial 16S ribosomal RNA
Rfam family: Bacterial small subunit ribosomal RNA
Source: RNAcentral